CACGUGGGUAACCUGCCUUAUAGUGGGGGAUAGCCUUUCGAAAGGAAGAUUAAUACCGCAUAAGAUUGUAGUAUCGCAUGAUAUAGCAAUUAAAGGAGCAAUUCGCUAUAAGAUGGACCCGCGUCGCAUUAGCUAGUUGGUGAGGUAAUGGCUCACCAAGGCGACGAUGCGUAGUCGACCUGAGAGGGUGAUCGGCCACAUUGGGACUGAGACACGGCCCAGACUCCUACGGGAGGCAGCAUG
This 243-nucleotide ribosomal RNA is filed under the name uncultured bacterium. RNAcentral describes it as "partial 16S ribosomal RNA". It matches the Rfam family "Bacterial small subunit ribosomal RNA", at positions 114 to 353 of the family's 1533-position model. The record is from RNAcentral.